This 1096-nucleotide long non-coding RNA is filed under the name Calidris pugnax (ruff). Its description in RNAcentral is "lncRNA (ENSCPUG00000012211.1)". The record is from RNAcentral. Lineage: Eukaryota; Metazoa; Chordata; Aves; Charadriiformes; Scolopacidae.
UUUUUUGUGCUCUCCCCCUGUAGGUUUUUAACUUCUUUUUUUUUCUUUUGUUCACCCCCUUUUUUUUUUUUUUUUAAGAUGGCCUGAAAUAUUCUUAAAUAAGAUGGUACUGCUAGCUGUUGGUUUAGUGAUCAGUUCCUUGUAAUCUGGACUCAACUAACUGUUGCCACCUUCAAGAUCUCUACUUGAUCAACGUGCCCACCCUUCUCUAACCCCCCACCCCAAACUUCGUUCACAGGACUCAGGUGGCUGCUAAUGGUCUGGGAAGGACUUCUGACUUAUUAUAACCCUGAUUAUCUUGCAGUAGCAAAGCAAUUCUCAACCUGUCAAUGAAGCAAGCAGCUUGCUCUUGAGUGUCAGCUCUGGGUUGCUUACAUCCAUGCCCGUAUUACGUACUGAUCUCCACUGCACCUGCACCAUGUCUGCUGUCCCUGUCAUGCCCCGAUGAUGUGGAGAUGUAGAAGCAAUCUGCAAGAAGGAGAAAGUUUCUGCAUCAAAGAGCCUGGGAUGUUACUGGGUUUAUAAUCUGUGUACUACACUGCUGAAAUUUCAAGUUACAUGGUUUAUAGUCCACUUUAAUUAUCGAGCUAUUACAGAGCAUGCACAGUUCUCCCCAGUGCUAUUUUAAAAUCCCAACUGUGUUUUUCCUUUCUUCUAGAAAUCCGCUACACCAAUGCUGCUGAGAAAACAAUAAGCAGGAUGUAAGUUGUCUCACGUCCCCUUCUCCUUGCCAGCUUCCUACUGACACAGAAAUUUACGACAGGAAAAAGGCAAACCUCCCUGUAGUGACAGCAGUGCCACGUGCUCUUCUUGUGUCUGUCUGGGCUCCGUCGUCAGAGGGACACGCAGAGCCUGGCCGAGCUCAAGUGACUCCAGCAGGUCAGAGCUCUGGCCAGAGAAAGCUGAGGCAAUGCUGUCCCGGUGGGUGAUGCAACCAGAGGCUAUGGUGAGGGCUGUAUUUCUCGUUGGGAACAUCUGCCCGUCACGCGGCGUUGGAACGUGCAGUUUGAGGUUGCUGGUGGAAGCCGGUGGAGAAAUGGUCCUUGCUGGAACCAGCAUAAUGAAAAUGUAUGCCCAGCUGCAGAAGACCAUGUAA